GAGGCUGACACAGAUGGAGAAAUGACAUGCCUCUGUACCCUGAGGAUGGAGGCUGUAGGGACAGGGCUAUGAGGCUUUGGGCUGUUGGAAAGAAUGCCCAAGUGCUCAGAGCAGUUCCUGUGGCAGAGGCAACAAAUUACAGAGUCAGAAAAGCAUGGGUUUAAAUACCUGUUUCACAUGCUGAUUCUAAGGGCUUAACUACGUGUUUAACCUCUCUGAGAUACUUCCCUGUCUGCAAAUGGAGUUUGGAAGGUCCCCUCCUACCUCAGGCCUGCCGAGGUGUGCCUGGAGGUGAGAGACUCCUGAAUCCUGAAGAAGAAAACUCUGCCUUUGAGAAGCAUCCUUAACUCAAGUUAGCCAGCAAGAGGAAAAGGUGAGCAGAGCAGGACCGUGCUCUGUGUCAAGCACCGUGCGCCAAGUGGAAUCCUCUGGAAAACGAAAUGACCGGUCAAGAAAACGCUCCAAAGACACCGAGUCACGUGCUACAAAGCUGGGUGCCACAAGGACCUGAUAAAAGUAAGAAAAAUUGUAUCGUGGAAAGCUGACUGUGAAGGAAAAAUCACUAAUGUCCAUUGGUACAAACCAGGUAUUCUGGAGAAGCGUGGGAACCCUGGUCUCUAACAACUGCUUAAUCUCCGCUGGUAUACUGUGUAAACUGCAUGUGAACCUAUUUAAAAUAGCAAGAAAAAAAUGUAAGCAGCAGCAGGUAAUUGCAGAGGCUGUCUGCGUUUCACGCUGCAGGUAAUCUUGCCUACUUACACUUAAAGUAUGUGGUAGCGCAGUCUCGAGAGAAUGUUAAGCAGUAUCAGAGUGCCUUUCCACACAGCCCUGUCUUACUGCGUCAUCUUCAAAACUAUUUUGAACAUACACUGCAGAGUUUGAAAUGGGCAUCAAAAACCGACAACCACAACGCAAAGAAAAGCAAAACCUACAGAUAUUCAGGCUCCAAGACUGGUAUAUUUCACUUUGCCACAUCUACUUACUUUGCACGCUCGCGAUG
Long non-coding RNA from Mesocricetus auratus (golden hamster), 1000 nucleotides. RefSeq lists it as uncharacterized. Lineage: Eukaryota; Metazoa; Chordata; Mammalia; Rodentia; Cricetidae. The record is from RefSeq and is a predicted model, not a curated record. The transcript has 3 exons.